This 21-nucleotide unclassified non-coding RNA is filed under the name Mus musculus (house mouse). Its description in RNAcentral is "oocyte_clustered_small_RNA10072". Lineage: Eukaryota; Metazoa; Chordata; Mammalia; Rodentia; Muridae. The record is from RNAcentral.
AACUACAACACGGCACAAGGU